This 382-nucleotide RNase P RNA is filed under the name uncultured Treponema sp. Its description in RNAcentral is "Bacterial RNase P class A". It matches the Rfam family "Bacterial RNase P class A", at positions 37 to 357 of the family's 367-position model. Rfam says of the family: Ribonuclease P (RNase P) is a ubiquitous endoribonuclease, found in archaea, bacteria and eukarya as well as chloroplasts and mitochondria. Its best characterised activity is the generation of mature 5'-ends of tRNAs by cleaving the 5'-leader elements of precursor-tRNAs. Cellular RNase Ps are ribonucleoproteins. The record is from RNAcentral. Lineage: Bacteria; Pseudomonadati; Spirochaetota; Spirochaetia; Treponematales; Treponemataceae.
AGGAAUGAGAUAAAGUCCGGGCUCCUUCGGAAAAAAAUGCCGGAUAAUAACCGGGCAUCACAGGGAAGCUGCAUAAGAUAAACAAUACUAACCAAAAGUUAAAGGUUGUUUUUAGCUUGUAAAGCCCCUCUGAUGACAGAUAGUGCAGCAGAAAUAGUACCGCCCACCAUGUGGUGAGUAAGGGUGAAAAGGCAGUGUAAGAGACUACCGCGCAACUGGUAACAGUUGUGGCUUGUAAACCUCAUUUGGAGCAAGAUUAAGCAGCAGUUAUGUGUUUCCGAGCAAUACUGCGGGUAAAUCGCUGGAAUUAAAUGGUAACAUUUAAUGCGGAUAGAUGGUCAUUGGCAGAAAUGUCAGACAGAACCCGGCUUAUUAUCCCAUC